AUUCAGCUGACGAGUCCGAAAUAGGAUGAAACACGAGUUCUGAAU
This 45-nucleotide non-coding RNA is filed under the name Schistosoma mattheei. Lineage: Eukaryota; Metazoa; Platyhelminthes; Trematoda; Strigeidida; Schistosomatidae. The record is from RNAcentral.